UACAGAGGCCAAGAGCGAUGUUCGGAUUUACUGGGCGUAAAGGGCGCGUAGGCGGUAUGGCGUGUCAAGUGUGAAAUCUCCGGGCCCAACCCGGAAAGUGCGCUUGAAACUACCAUACUUCGAGUGCGGGAGAGGGAAUCGGAAUACAGGGUGUAGCGGUGAAAUGCGUUGAUAUCCUAUAGAAUACCGGAGGCGAAGGCGGAUUCCUUGAACGCAACUGACGCUGAGGCGCGAAAGUCGGGGGAGCAAA
This 250-nucleotide ribosomal RNA is filed under the name uncultured prokaryote. Its description in RNAcentral is "partial 16S ribosomal RNA". It matches the Rfam family "Bacterial small subunit ribosomal RNA", at positions 524 to 772 of the family's 1533-position model. The record is from RNAcentral.